Molecule: ribosomal RNA, 253 nt
Filed under: uncultured bacterium
Lineage: Bacteria
Description: partial 16S ribosomal RNA
Rfam family: Bacterial small subunit ribosomal RNA
Source: RNAcentral
UACAGAGGUCUCAAGCGUUGUUCGGAUUCAUUGGGCGUAAAGGGUGCGUAGGUGGCGCCAUAAGUCGGGUGUGAAAUCUCGGGGCUUAACUCCGAAACUGCAUUCGAUACUGUGGUGCUCGAGGACUGGAGAGGAGACUGGAAUUCAUGGUGUAGCAGUGAAAUGCGUAGAUAUCGUAAGGAAGACCAGUGGCGAAGGCGGGUCUCUGGACAGUUCCUGACGCUGAGGCACGAAGGCCAGGGGAGCAAACGGG